UACGUAGGGGGCGAGCGUUAUCCGGAAUUAUUGGGCGUAAAGGGUUCGCAGGCGGCCUUGUAAGUCAGAUGUGAAAGACAGCGGCUUAACCGUUGUAAGCAUUUGAAACUGCAGGGCUUGAGUACAGGAGAGGAAAGCGGAAUUCCUAGUGUAGCGGUGAAAUGCGUAGAUAUUAGGAGGAACACCAGUGGCGAAGGCGGCUUUCUGGACUGAUACUGACGCUGAGGAACGAAAGCGUGGGGAGCAAACAGGAUUAGAUACCCCCGUAGUCCCUGAG
Molecule: ribosomal RNA, 277 nt
Filed under: uncultured prokaryote
Description: partial 16S ribosomal RNA
Rfam family: Bacterial small subunit ribosomal RNA
Source: RNAcentral